This is a non-coding RNA of Cercophora newfieldiana, 73 nucleotides long. NCBI's taxonomy places the organism in Eukaryota, Fungi, Ascomycota, Sordariomycetes, Sordariales, Lasiosphaeriaceae. The record is from the annotation of a GenBank genome assembly.
GGCCUCGUGGCGCAACGGUAGUCGCGUUCGACUCCAGAUCGAAAGGUUAUCCGUUCAAAUCGGGUCGGGGUCA